AAGAUAGAUAUAUUUUCUUCUUUGACUGGUUCAAUUAGUAUUAUAUCAAAGGCUUCGAGGAAGCUAGUCCUGAAAUGUAAGAAACUAUGAUUAAAAGAAUUACUGAAUCAUGAAAAUUUUGUGAAAGUUUUAAAGCUGAAUCUAUUUUCAAGAUAACUUAAGUUCAAAAAGAGAGAAAUACCAAUUCAAUUAAGAUUUUUACCAA
This 205-nucleotide long non-coding RNA is filed under the name Elaeis guineensis (African oil palm). RNAcentral describes it as "long non-coding RNA (EGUI_LNC055585)". Lineage: Eukaryota; Viridiplantae; Streptophyta; Magnoliopsida; Arecales; Arecaceae. The record is from RNAcentral.